This 484-nucleotide ribosomal RNA is filed under the name uncultured bacterium. RNAcentral's name for it is "partial 16S ribosomal RNA". It matches the Rfam family "Bacterial small subunit ribosomal RNA", at positions 39 to 507 of the family's 1533-position model. The record is from RNAcentral.
GGGGGGGGGGGGGGGGGGGCGGGAGGGAGGGGAGGGGGGGGGAGGAAGGGGGCUUGCUCCUGGAUUCAGCGGAGGACGGGUGAGUAAUGCCUAGGAAUCUGCCUGGUAGUGGGGGAGAACGUCCGGAAACGGGCGCUAAUACCGCAUACGUCCGGAGGGAGAACGUGGGGGAUCUUCGGACCUCACGCUAUCAGAUGAGCCUCGGUCGGAUUAGCUAGUUGGUGGGGUAAAGGCCUACCAAGGCGACGAUCCGUAACUGGUCUGAGAGGAUGAUCAGUCACACUGGAACUGAGACACGGUCCAGACUCCUACGGGAGGCAGCAGUGGGGAAUAUUGGACAAUGGGCGAAAGCCUGAUCCAGCCAUGCCGCGUGUGUGAAGAAGGUCUUCGGAUUGUAAAGCACUUUAAGUUGGGAGGAAGGGCAGUAAGUUAAUACCUUGCUGUUUUGACGUUACCAACAGAAUAAGCACCGGCUAACUUCGUG